RNAcentral lists this ribosomal RNA (468 nucleotides) under uncultured bacterium. Its description in RNAcentral is "partial 16S ribosomal RNA". It matches the Rfam family "Bacterial small subunit ribosomal RNA", at positions 28 to 507 of the family's 1533-position model. The record is from RNAcentral.
GACGAACGCUGGCGGCGUGCCUAACACAUGCAAGUCGAACGGAAAAGGCCGGCUUUUCUUUGGUGCCUGAGUGGCGAACGGGUGAGUAACACGUGAGUAACCUGCCUUUUACUGUGGGAUAACUUCUGGAAACUGGGGCUAAUACCGGAUACGAGCUGCUGUUGCAUGGUGGUGGUUGGAAAGGUUCGGCGGGAGGGGCUGGACGUGGGGCUUAUUAGCUUGUUGGGGGGGGAGUGGCAAACGCAGGCUUUGACGGAUAGACGUCCUGGGAGGGUGACCGGCCACAUGAGGACUCAGGGACGGCCCAGACGGCUACGGGGGGCAGCGGUGGAAAGUAUUGCACACUGGGCCGAAGCCUGAAACAACGGCGUCGCGUGCGGAAUGACGGCUUUCUGGGUGGAAAGCGCAUUCGACUGUGACGUAGCGUGUGUGACGGUACUAGGUAAAGAAGCACCGGCUAACUACGUG